Molecule: ribosomal RNA, 608 nt
Filed under: uncultured bacterium
Lineage: Bacteria
Description: bacterial SSU rRNA
Rfam family: Bacterial small subunit ribosomal RNA
Source: RNAcentral
AGUCGAACGGCAGCACGGGGGCAACCCUGGUGGCGAGUGGCGAACGGGUGAGUAAUACAUCGGAACGUGCCCAGUCGUGGGGGAUAACGUAGCGAAAGUUACGCUAAUACCGCAUACGAUCUAAGGAUGAAAGCGGGGGACCGUAAGGCCUCGCGCGAUUGGAGCGGCCAAUGUCAGAUUAGGUUGUUGGUGAGGUAAAGGCUCACCAAGCCGACGAUCUGUAGCUGGUCUGAGAGGACGACCAGCCACACUGGGACUGAGACACGGCCCAGACUCCUACGGGAGGCAGCAGUGGGGAAUUUUGGACAAUGGACGCAAGUCUGAUCCAGCCAUUCCGCGUGCAGGACGAAGGCCUUCGGGUUGUAAACUGCUUUUGUACGGAACGAAAAAGCCUUGGCUAAUACCCGGGGUCCAUGACGGUACCGUAAGAAUAAGCACCGGCUAACUACGUGCCAGCAGCCGCGGUAAUACGUAGGGUGCGAGCGUUAAUCGGAAUUACUGGGCGUAAAGCGUGCGCAGGCGGUUAUAUAAGACAGAUGUGAAAUCCCCGGGCUCAACUGGGAACUGCAUUUGUGACUGUAUAGCUAGAGUACGUAGAGGGGGAUGGA